GAAAUGCGAUAAGUAAUGUGAAUUGCAGAAUUCAGUGAAUCAUCGAAUCUUUGAACGCACCUUGCGCUCCUUGGUAUUCCUUGGAGCAUGCCUGUUUGAGUAUCAUGAAAUCUUCAAAGUAAAUCUUUUGUUAACUCAAUUGGUUUCUUCUUUGGUAUUGGAGGUCUUUGCAGCUUCACACCUGCUCCUCUUUGUUCAUUAGCUGGAUCUCAGUGUUAUGCUUGGUUCCACUCGGCGUGAUAAGUUAUCUAUCGCUGAGGACACUGUAAAAGGUGGCCAAGGUAAAUGCAGAUGAACCGCUUCUAAUAGUCCAUUGACUUGGACAAUACUUUUAUGAUCUGAUCUCAAAUCAGGUAGGGAUACCCGCUGAACUUAAGC
This 378-nucleotide unclassified non-coding RNA is filed under the name plant metagenome. RNAcentral's name for it is "partial contains 5.8S ribosomal RNA, internal transcribed spacer 2, and large subunit ribosomal RNA". The stretch from base 1 to 105 matches the Rfam family "5.8S ribosomal RNA", at positions 50 to 154 of the family's 154-position model. The record is from RNAcentral.